AACGAACGCUGGCGGCAUGCCUAACACAUGCAAGUCGAACGAGACCUUCGGGUCUAGUGGCGCACGGGUGCGUAACGCGUGGGAACCUGCCCUUAGGUUCGGAAUAACUCCCCGAAAGGGGUGCUAAUACCGGAUAAUGUCUUCGGACCAAAGAUUUAUUGCCUUUGGAUGGGCCCGCGUUGGAUUAGCUAGUUGGUAGAGUAAAAGCCUACCAAGGCGACGAUCCAUAGCUGGUCUGAGAGGAUGAUCAGCCACACUGGGACUGAGACACGGCCCAGACUCCUACGGGAGGCAGCAGUGGGGAAUAUUGGACAAUGGGCGAAAGCCUGAUCCAGCAAUGCCGCGUGAGUGAUGAAGGCCUUAGGGUUGUAAAGCUCUUUUACCCGGGAUGAUAAUGACAGUACCGGGAGAAUAAGCUCCGGCUAACUCCGUG
RNAcentral lists this ribosomal RNA (433 nucleotides) under uncultured bacterium. RNAcentral describes it as "partial 16S ribosomal RNA". It matches the Rfam family "Bacterial small subunit ribosomal RNA", at positions 29 to 507 of the family's 1533-position model. The record is from RNAcentral.